RNAcentral lists this ribosomal RNA (1059 nucleotides) under Vibrio jasicida. Its description in RNAcentral is "bacterial SSU rRNA". It matches the Rfam family "Bacterial small subunit ribosomal RNA", at positions 470 to 1528 of the family's 1533-position model. Lineage: Bacteria; Pseudomonadati; Pseudomonadota; Gammaproteobacteria; Vibrionales; Vibrionaceae. The record is from RNAcentral.
UGACGUUAGCGACAGAAGAAGCACCGGCUAACUCCGUGCCAGCAGCCGCGGUAAUACGGAGGGUGCGAGCGUUAAUCGGAAUUACUGGGCGUAAAGCGCAUGCAGGUGGUUUGUUAAGUCAGAUGUGAAAGCCCGGGGCUCAACCUCGGAAUAGCAUUUGAAACUGGCAGACUAGAGUACUGUAGAGGGGGGUAGAAUUUCAGGUGUAGCGGUGAAAUGCGUAGAGAUCUGAAGGAAUACCGGUGGCGAAGGCGGCCCCCUGGACAGAUACUGACACUCAGAUGCGAAAGCGUGGGGAGCAAACAGGAUUAGAUACCCUGGUAGUCCACGCCGUAAACGAUGUCUACUUGGAGGUUGUGGCCUUGAGCCGUGGCUUUCGGAGCUAACGCGUUAAGUAGACCGCCUGGGGAGUACGGUCGCAAGAUUAAAACUCAAAUGAAUUGACGGGGGCCCGCACAAGCGGUGGAGCAUGUGGUUUAAUUCGAUGCAACGCGAAGAACCUUACCUACUCUUGACAUCCAGAGAACUUUUCAGAGAUGAAUUGGUGCCUUCGGGAACUCUGAGACAGGUGCUGCAUGGCUGUCGUCAGCUCGUGUUGUGAAAUGUUGGGUUAAGUCCCGCAACGAGCGCAACCCUUAUCCUUGUUUGCCAGCGAGUAAUGUCGGGAACUCCAGGGAGACUGCCGGUGAUAAACCGGAGGAAGGUGGGGACGACGUCAAGUCAUCAUGGCCCUUACGAGUAGGGCUACACACGUGCUACAAUGGCGCAUACAGAGGGCAGCAAGCUAGCGAUAGUGAGCGAAUCCCAAAAAGUGCGUCGUAGUCCGGAUUGGAGUCUGCAACUCGACUCCAUGAAGUCGGAAUCGCUAGUAAUCGUGGAUCAGAAUGCCACGGUGAAUACGUUCCCGGGCCUUGUACACACCGCCCGUCACACCAUGGGAGUGGGCUGCAAAAGAAGUAGGUAGUUUAACCUUCGGGAGGACGCUUACCACUUUGUGGUUCAUGACUGGGGUGAAGUCGUAACAAGGUAGCGCUAGGGGAACCUGGCGCUGGAUCACCU